Molecule: ribosomal RNA, 468 nt
Filed under: uncultured bacterium
Lineage: Bacteria
Description: partial 16S ribosomal RNA
Rfam family: Bacterial small subunit ribosomal RNA
Source: RNAcentral
GACGAACGCUGGCGGCGUGCUUAACACAUGCAAGUCGAACGGAAAGGCCCUGCUUUUGUGGGGUGCUCGAGUGGCGAACGGGUGAGUAACACGUGAGUAACCUGCCCUUGACUUUGGGAUAACUUCAGGAAACUGGGGCUAAUACCGGAUAGGAGCUCCUGCUGCAUGGUGGGGGUUGGAAAGUUUCGGCGGUUGGGGAUGGACUCGCGGCUUAUCAGCUUGUUGGUGGGGUAGUGGCUUACCAAGGCUUUGACGGGUAGCCGGCCUGAGAGGGUGACCGGCCACAGUGGGACUGAGAUACGGCCCAGACUCCUACGGGAGGCAGCAGUGGGGAAUAGUGCACAAUGGGCGGAAGCCUGAUGCAGCAACGCCGCGUGCGGGAUGACGGCCUUCGGGUUGAAAGCCGCUUUCGCCUGUAACGAAGCGUGAGUGACGGUAAUGGGUAAAGAAGCACCGGCUAACUACGUG